Molecule: ribosomal RNA, 253 nt
Filed under: uncultured bacterium
Lineage: Bacteria
Description: partial 16S ribosomal RNA
Rfam family: Bacterial small subunit ribosomal RNA
Source: RNAcentral
UACGUAGGGUGCAAGCGUUGUCCGGAAUUAUUGGGCGUAAAGAGCUCGUAGGCGGCUUGUUACGUCGGCUGUGAAAACCUGGGGCUCAACCCCGGGCCUGCAGCCGAUACGGGCAAGCUAGAAUUCGGUAGGGGAGACUGGAAUUCCUGGUGUAGCGGUGGAAUGCGCAGAUAUCAGGAGGAACACCGGUGGCGAAGGCGGGUCUCUGGGCCGAGAUUGACGCUGAGGAGCGAAAGCGUGGGGAGCGAACAGG